GACGAACGCUGGCGGCGUGCUUAACACAGGCAAGUCGAACGGAAGGGCCCUGCUUUUGUGGGGUGCUCGAGUGGCGAACGGGUGAGUAACACGUGAGUAACCUGCCCUUGACUUUGGGAUAACUUCAGGAAACUGGGGCUAAUACCGGAUAGGAGCUCCUGCUGCAUGGUGGGGGUUGGAAAGUUUCGGCGGUUGGGGAUGGACUCGCGGCUUAUCAGCUUGUUGGUGGGGUAGUGGCUUACCAAGGCUUUGACGGGUAGCCGGCCUGAGAGGGUGACCGGCCACAUUGGGACUUAGAUACGGCCCAGACUCCUACGGGAGGCAGCAGUGGGGAAUAUUGCACAAUGGGCGGAAGCCUGAUGCAGCAACGCCGCGUGCGGGAUGACGGCCUUCGGGUUGUAAACCGCUUUCGCCUGUGACGAAGCGUGAGUGACGGUAAUGGGUAAAGAAGCACCGGCUAACUACGUG
RNAcentral lists this ribosomal RNA (468 nucleotides) under uncultured bacterium. RNAcentral's name for it is "partial 16S ribosomal RNA". It matches the Rfam family "Bacterial small subunit ribosomal RNA", at positions 28 to 507 of the family's 1533-position model. The record is from RNAcentral.